GCUAUCAUUCUUCCAAAGACAUUCGGGGGUCAAUCGAAACCUGUAGCCGCCUUCCGGGGUGUGACGGGUGGCUGAUAUCUUCCUCUUGAGAGUUGCAUGUCACAGUGCGGUGCCGGCAGCGUCAUUGCGCCGGUUGCUUCGCGUCUGCGGCGGACCAUCUCUUGGGAAACUCAGUGGGGGCAAUUGGAUGGCCUGCGAGCGAUCCCUGUGCGGUGCCCCUGGCGGUACCCCAGGGAAAGAUCCAGGUCGAGUGCUUGGGCCGAAAUGCCCACGCUCCAACCGUUUGACAACUCUUCCCACUUCCCUGCGGAGUGUCUGGGGUCCUUCCUCCUGCUCGGCGGGAGGCGGGUCCCCGGUCAAGAUAGUUACCUGGUUGAUUCUGCCAGUAGUCAUAUGCUUGUCUCAAAGAU
This 410-nucleotide unclassified non-coding RNA is filed under the name Ramalina glaucescens. Its description in RNAcentral is "partial 28S-18S ribosomal RNA intergenic spacer". Lineage: Eukaryota; Fungi; Ascomycota; Lecanoromycetes; Lecanorales; Ramalinaceae. The record is from RNAcentral.